CGCCUGAAGUAGAGCUCAUUGUUGAGGACUUUAAAGACUUUCGAGCUCUCCGCAGGUUAAUUCUGAAAUAUUGAGCCUCAGUAGCAAGAGGAUAAAUAAGGGGGUGGUAUUAGAUGAGAUUGGAACUGAAAAGCACCAAAGGAGAAGGUUGUCAAGCAAGGUAUUUGAGGAUAUAAACAACAUGGCAUCUUUUUAAGAGUUGAGAAAGAUGUAGCAGGUUAGAGCUUCUGGUCUCGAACAUAAGCUUGGCCAUUAAGUUAUAAAUUUCUUCUUCAUCUCUAUUUCGAUGUCUGAUGGAAAAUAAGGAAAGAGAAGGAGAGAAAAAAAGGUAAAUGGUGUAACUAAAUCCGUUAAUUGAAGACACUAAUAAUGGAUUGGGAGCCUUUUAAGGUGGAAUGUAUAUAUUUGUAAACAAAACUUAUGUAGGUA
Molecule: long non-coding RNA, 429 nt
Filed under: Nicotiana benthamiana
Lineage: Eukaryota; Viridiplantae; Streptophyta; Magnoliopsida; Solanales; Solanaceae
Description: long non-coding RNA (NBEN_LNC042483)
Source: RNAcentral